RNAcentral lists this ribosomal RNA (138 nucleotides) under uncultured eukaryote. Its description in RNAcentral is "partial 18S ribosomal RNA". It matches the Rfam family "Eukaryotic small subunit ribosomal RNA", at positions 1299 to 1458 of the family's 1831-position model. The record is from RNAcentral.
UGGUGGAGUGAUUUGUCGGGUUAAUUCCGAUAACGAACGAGACUCUGGCCUAUUAAAUAGUUCGCCGAUUCCGAUCUGUCGGCGUUAACUUCUUAGAGGGACAAGUGGCUUUUAGCCACGCGAGAUUGAGCAAUAACA